Molecule: ribosomal RNA, 478 nt
Filed under: uncultured bacterium
Lineage: Bacteria
Description: partial 16S ribosomal RNA
Rfam family: Bacterial small subunit ribosomal RNA
Source: RNAcentral
GACGAACGCUGGCGGCGUGCUUAACACAUGCAAGUCGAACGGUAAGGCCCUUCGGGGUACACGAGCGGCGAACGGGUGAGUAACACGUGGGUGAUCUGCCCUGCACUUCGGGAUAAGCCUGGGAAACUGGGUCUAAUACCGGAUAGGACCACUGCCUGCAUGGGUGGUGGUGGAAAGCUUUUGCGGUGUGGGAUGGGCCCGCGGCCCAUCAGCUUGUUGGUGGGGUGAUGGCCUACCAAGGCGACGACGGGUAGCCGGCCUGAGAGGGUGACCGGCCACACUGGGACUGAGAUACGGCCCAGACUCCUACGGGAGGCAGCAGUGGGGAAUAUUGCACAAUGGGCGCAAGCCUGAUGCAGCGACGCCGCGUGAGGGAUGACGGCCUUCGGGUUGUAAACCUCUUUCAGCACCGACGAAGCGCAAGUGACGGUAGGUGCAGAAGAAGGACCGGCCAACUACGUGCCAGCAGCCGCCGUAA